RNAcentral lists this ribosomal RNA (317 nucleotides) under Corynebacterium sp. HMSC034B08. Its description in RNAcentral is "bacterial LSU rRNA". It matches the Rfam family "Bacterial large subunit ribosomal RNA", at positions 681 to 994 of the family's 2925-position model. The record is from RNAcentral. Lineage: Bacteria; Bacillati; Actinomycetota; Actinomycetes; Mycobacteriales; Corynebacteriaceae.
AUCCUAAGAGGGUGUCAAGUGGCAUGUCCUGGACCCGAAGCGGGGUGAUCUACCCAUGGCCAGUGUGAAGCAGCUGUAAGAGGUUGUGGAGGCGCGAACCCACUUAGGUUGAAAACUGAGGGGAUGAGCUGUGGGUAGGGGUGAAAGGCCAAUCAAACUCCGUGAUAGCUGGUUCUCCCCGAAAUGCAUUUAGGUGCAGCGUGAUGUGUGCUUACCGGAGGUAGAGCUACUGGAUGGCCGAGCGGGACUAUCAUCUUAGUGACGUCAGCCAAACUCCGAAUGCCGGUUUAAGUUUGAGCAUUGCAGUGAGACUGUGG